AUUGAACGCUGGCGGCAUGCCUUACACAUGCAAGUCGAACGGCAGCACGGGUGCUUGCACCUGGUGGCGAGUGGCGAACGGGUGAGUAAUACAUCGGAACAUGUCCUGUAGUGGGGGAUAGCCCGGCGAAAGCCGGAUUAAUACCGCAUACGAUCUACGGAUGAAAGCGGGGGACCUUCGGGCCUCGCGCUAUAGGGUUGGCCGAUGGCGGAUUAGCUAGUUGGUGGGGUAAAGGCCUACCAAGGCGACGAUCAGUAGCUGGUCUGAGAGGACGACCAGCCACACUGGGACUGAGGCACGGCCCAGACGCCUACGGGAGGCAGCAGUGGGGAAUUUUGGACAAUGGGCGAAAGCCUGAUCCAGCAAUGCCGCGUGUGUGAAGAAGGCCUUCGGGUUGUAAAGCACUUUUGUCCGGAAAGAAAUCCUUGGCCCUAAUACGGUCGGGGGAUGACGGUACCGGAAGAAUAAGCACCGGCUAACUACGUG
Molecule: ribosomal RNA, 486 nt
Filed under: uncultured bacterium
Lineage: Bacteria
Description: partial 16S ribosomal RNA
Rfam family: Bacterial small subunit ribosomal RNA
Source: RNAcentral